UAGCUCAGUGGUAGAGAGCGUGCUUUGCAUGCAUAAGGUCCUGGGUUCAAUCCCCAG
This 57-nucleotide transfer RNA is filed under the name Camelus bactrianus (Bactrian camel). It matches the Rfam family "tRNA", at positions 8 to 63 of the family's 71-position model. Rfam says of the family: Transfer RNA (tRNA) molecules are approximately 80 nucleotides in length. Their secondary structure includes four short double-helical elements and three loops (D, anti-codon, and T loops). Lineage: Eukaryota; Metazoa; Chordata; Mammalia; Artiodactyla; Camelidae. The record is from Rfam by way of RNAcentral. RNAcentral also lists the same sequence under 1 other name.